GACGAACGCUGGCGGCGUGCCUAAUACAUGCAAGUAGAACGCUGAAGAGAGGAGCUUGCUCUUCUUGGAUGAGUUGCGAACGGGUGAGUAACGCGUAGGUAACCUGCCUUGUAGCGGGGGAUAACUAUUUGAAACGAUAGCUAAUACCGCAUAACAAUGGAUGACACAUGUCAUUUAUUUGAAAGUGGCAAUUGCUCCACUACAAGAUGGACCUGCGUUGUAUUAGCUAGUAGGUGAGGUAAUGGCUCACCUAGGCGACGAUACAUAGCCGACCUGAGAGGGUGAUCGGCCACACUGGGACUGAGACACGGCCCAGACUCCUACGGGAGGCAGCAGUAGGGAAUCUUCGGCAAAGGGGGCAACCCUGACCGAGCAACGCCGCGUGAGUGAAGAAGGUUUUCGGAUCGUAAAGCUCUGUUGUAAGUCAAGAAAGGGUGUGAGAGUGGAAAGUGCACACUGUGACGGUAGCGUACCAGAAAGGGACGGCUAACUACGU
This 496-nucleotide ribosomal RNA is filed under the name uncultured bacterium. Its description in RNAcentral is "partial 16S ribosomal RNA". It matches the Rfam family "Bacterial small subunit ribosomal RNA", at positions 28 to 506 of the family's 1533-position model. The record is from RNAcentral.